Molecule: long non-coding RNA, 2002 nt
Organism: Diospyros lotus (date-plum)
Lineage: Eukaryota; Viridiplantae; Streptophyta; Magnoliopsida; Ericales; Ebenaceae
Exons: 3
Source: RefSeq, a predicted model, not a curated record
UGAAGCCAAAACAGCCUUGGCGACUGUAGUCCUGCCACUGAAUUGCAGGGCUUCCAAUUGUGAAUCAGGAAAUCGGAUGCUUCCGAAGAAGCUCUUCUUCCAUAGGUGGGGAUUCCCGACUACUUGGCAUCAGAGAAGGAUGAUGCAUGCCGCACGGUGAUGGAAAGAAGAGCCAAGAGAGAUGAUAAAAAUAUGCAUAACAGAAUCCAUUUCAACUUAUAUGAAUUCAACAUGAGCACCUGCAACUGUUUUCCUACAGAAAGGAGCGGGAAAUAGCACUAUUUUUUGUUCGUUUAGUUGCUGUUCUUUCUUCUCCCUCAUAUGUUCAUGCAGGGUGCUGAAUUUAGUGAUAAAUGCACCCCCAGACUUUAGCUGAGCUGCACAAGUCGAUGAAUGGGAUUUUCUUGCACUGUCUAAUUAACAAACAACCAACAAUCCAUGAUCUUUGGUCACUCUUGUUCCUGUUUAACUCAAAAAGAUCGAACAAAAUAUAACUGUACACCAGAUUUUAGCCGAGUUGUACAAGUCAAUAAGAUCUUCUACAACCAACAAAAUAACUUCCUACCAAAAUGAGCAAAAACAAGUUCCAUUUUUUAUUCUUAUAAUUGUUAUGGAUUAAAUCGCUAUUUCUCAUACAUGCUGCUGAAUUUAGCCCCCUGGAUUCCUCUAUGAAGACAGAAAAGAAUGGGAAGAAAUGCUCAAAGCUUCUCAUAAAAGAGAAUAUAGGUUUCAUCUGUGUCUGAGUCAGAAAAUAUGCUGUCAACUGAAUAAUGUGAUUCAUCUUCUCGACUCGGCUUCUCACCACCGGCUGAAACCUCUGUUUCACCCGUAACACUGAGGGAAUGGCUUCUUUUCAAACUCUUCAGCAGCCGAGAGAUUCGCUGAAACUGAAGCCAUUUCAUUUGGCAAGCUACUAGGGGCGGAAGACAAUGACAAUAUAGCAUUGGCUAUGGCAUGAAUAGAAGAGGCACCACUAGCAUUGCCAUUAACAUCAGAUGGGUGCUUAGUAGUUUCAGUUUCUGACUCAGACACAGAUGAAGAUUACAAUCCUGAAAAUAAUGAUGGUUCUGCAGUGUCCUUGGAGAGUUGUUUUGCUUUUUUCACAAAGCCGGAGCUUCUCCUGGACGAGCAUGGUUCGCGGUGCAAACAUUGUUCAACUGCACAAGCCGGAGGAUCUGAAUCGAAAGGCAGCGGCACCGACAGAAACAAGUCAAAUUCUGAGAAAAGGGGCGGGACUAAAAGGAUCCUCAUUGAUCAGGCACCACGUGUUCUGACCAUCCACCUUAAGAGGUUCAUCCAAGGCGCUGACAGUUCCCUGAGUAAACUGAAAGGCCAUGUGGAUUUUGGAUAUACACUCGAUCUUGCACCAUUCAUGGAGCCAAGGAGCGUGGCAACAGGUGAGUACAAGUAUCGUCUGAUCAGCGUGGUGGAGCAUUUUGGGACAUAUGGCAAGGCCACCACGUUGCAUAUGUGAGAGAUUUGAAGAUUGAGAAGGGUGACGACAACAAAAAUGUUAAUUCUUGUGGUAUCGUGUCGCCGAUGCUAAUGUCAAAGAAGCUUCUCUGGAAGAAGUCCUCUGCGCUGAAACCUAUAUUCUCUUUUAUGAGAAGCUUUGAGCAUUUCUUCCCAUUCUUUGCUGUCUUCAUAGAGGAAUCCAGGGGACUAAAUUCAGCACCUUGUAUGUGAAAUAGCCAUUUAAACCAUAACAAUUAUAAGAACAAAAAUGGAACUUGUUUUUGCUCAUUUUGGUAGGAAGUUAUUUUGUUGGGUUGUAGAAGAUCUUAUUGACUUGUACAACUCGGCUAAAAUCAGGUGUACAGUUAUAUUUUGUUCGAUCUUUUUGAGUUAAACAGGAAACAAGAAUGAUCAAAGAUCAUAGAUUGUAGGUUGUUUGUUAAUUAGACAGUGCAAGAAAAUCCCGUUCGUCGACUUGUGCAGCUCAGCUAAAGUCUGGGGUGCAUUUAUCACUAAAUUCAGCACCCUGCAUUAACAUAUGAGGGAG